This 442-nucleotide ribosomal RNA is filed under the name uncultured bacterium. Its description in RNAcentral is "partial 16S ribosomal RNA". It matches the Rfam family "Bacterial small subunit ribosomal RNA", at positions 338 to 795 of the family's 1533-position model. The record is from RNAcentral.
CCUACGGGUGGCAGCAGUAGGGAAUCUUUCACAAUGGGCGAAAGCCUGAUGGAGCAACGCCGCGUGCAGGAUGAAGGCCUUCGGGUUGUAAACUGCUUUUAUAAGCGAGAAAUAUGAGGGUAACUUAUGAAUAAGGAUCGGCUAACUACGGGCCAGCAGCCGCGGUCAUACGUAGGAUCCGAGCAUUAUCCGGAGUGACUGGGUGUAAAGAGUUGCUUAGGUGGCAUAAUAAGUAGCUAGUGAAAUCUGGUGGCUCAACCAUUCAGACUAUUAGCUAAACUGUUAAGCUCGAGACCGUUAGGGGUAACUGGAAUUUGUAGUGUAGGAGUGAAAUCCGUAGAUAUUAGAAGGAACACUAAUAGCGUAGGCAGGUUGCUGGGACGGUUCUGACACUAAGGCACGAAAGCGUAGGGAGCAAACGGGAUUAGAUACCCUUGUAGUC